UCCAGACUCCUACGGGAGGCAGCAGUGGGGGAUAUUGCACAAUGGGGGAAACCCUGAUGCAGCGACGCCGCGUGGGUGAAGAAGCGCCUCGGCGCGUAAAGCCCUGUCAGCAGGGAAGAAAAUGACGGUACCUGACUAAGAAGCCCCGGCUAACUACGUGCCAGCAGCCGCGGUAAUACGGAGGGUGCAAGCGUUACUCGGAAUCACUGGGCGUAAAGAGCGCGUAGGCGGGAUAGCAAGUCAGAUGUGAAAACCAUGGGCUCAACCUGUGGCCUGCAUUUGAAACUGUUUUUCUUGAGUACUGGAGAGGCAGACGGAAUUCCUAGUGUAGCGGUGAAAUGCGUAGAUAUUAGGAGGAACACCAGUGGCGAAGGCGGUCUGCUGGACAGCAACUGACGCUGAGGCUCGAAAGCGUGGGGGGCAAACAGGAUUAGAUACCCCCGUAAA
Molecule: ribosomal RNA, 447 nt
Filed under: uncultured bacterium
Lineage: Bacteria
Description: bacterial SSU rRNA
Rfam family: Bacterial small subunit ribosomal RNA
Source: RNAcentral